RNAcentral lists this ribosomal RNA (253 nucleotides) under uncultured bacterium. RNAcentral's name for it is "partial 16S ribosomal RNA". It matches the Rfam family "Bacterial small subunit ribosomal RNA", at positions 524 to 776 of the family's 1533-position model. The record is from RNAcentral.
UACGGGGGGGGUAAGCGUUGUUCGGAAUUACUGGGCGUAAAGGGCUCGUAGGCGGCCAACUAAGUCAGACGUGAAAUCCCUCAGCUUAACUGGGGAACUGCGUCUGAUACUGGAUGGCUUGGAUUUGGGAGAGGGAUGCGGGAUUCCAGGUGUAGCGGUGAAAUGCGUAGAUAUCGGGAGGAACACCAGUGGCGAAGGCGGCUCUCUGGGCAGAAACUGACGCUGAGAUGCGAAAGCGUGGGGAGCAAACAGG